UUUAUGGAGAGUUUGAUCCUGGCUCAGGAUGAACGCUGGCGGCGUGCCUAAUACAUGCAAGUCGAGCGAACGGACGAGAAGCUUGCUUCUCUGAUGUUAGCGGCGGACGGGUGAGUAACACGUGGAUAACCUACCUAUAAGACUGGGAUAACUUCGGGAAACCGGAGCUAAUACCGGAUAAUAUUUUGAACCGCAUGAUUCAAAAGUGAAAGACGGUCUUGCUGUCACUUAUAGAUGGAUCCGCGCUGCAUUAGCUAGUUGGUAAGGUAACGGCUUACCAAGGCAACGAUGCAUAGCCGACCUGAGAGGGUGAUCGGCCACACUGGAACUGAGACACGGUCCAGACUCCUACGGGAGGCAGCAGUAGGGAAUCUUCCGCAAUGGGCGAAAGCCUGACGGAGCAACGCCGCGUGAGUGAUGAAGGUCUUCGGAUCGUAAAACUCUGUUAUUAGGGAAGAACAUAUGUGUAAGUAACUGUGCACAUCUUGACGGUACCUAAUCAGAAAGCCACGGCUAACUACGUGCCAGCAGCCGCGGUAAUACGUAGGUGGCAAGCGUUAUCCGGAAUUAUUGGGCGUAAAGCGCGCGUAGGCGGUUUUUUAAGUCUGAUGUGAAAGCCCACGGCUCAACCGUGGAG
This 637-nucleotide ribosomal RNA is filed under the name Staphylococcus aureus. Its description in RNAcentral is "bacterial SSU rRNA". It matches the Rfam family "Bacterial small subunit ribosomal RNA", at positions 1 to 620 of the family's 1533-position model. The record is from RNAcentral. Lineage: Bacteria; Bacillati; Bacillota; Bacilli; Caryophanales; Staphylococcaceae.